GACGAACGCUGGCGGCGUGCUUAACACAUGCAAGUCGAACGAAUAGCGAUGGAAGCUUGCUUCUAUCAAUCUUAGUGGCGAACGGGUGAGUAACGCGUAAUCAACCUGCCCUUCAGAGGGGGACAACAGUUGGAAACGACUGCUAAUACCGCAUACGAUCCGACCUCUGCAUCUAGGAUGGAUGAAAGGUGGCCUCUAUUUAUAAUCUAUCACUGAAGGAGGGGAUUGCGUCUGAUUAGCUAGUUGGAGGGGUAACGGCCCACCAAGGCAAUGAUCAGUAGCCGGUCUGAGAGGAUGAACGGCCACAUUGGGACUGAGACACGGCCCAGACUCCUACGGGAGGAAGCAGUGGGGAAUCUUCCGCAAUGGACGAAAGUCUGACGGAGCAACGCCGCGUGAGUGAUGACGGCCUUCGGGUUGUAAAGCUCUGUUAAUCGGGACGAAAGGUCUUCUUGCGAAUAGUUAGAAGAAUUGACGGUACCGGAAUAGAAAGCCACGGCUAACUACGUG
Molecule: ribosomal RNA, 510 nt
Filed under: uncultured bacterium
Lineage: Bacteria
Description: partial 16S ribosomal RNA
Rfam family: Bacterial small subunit ribosomal RNA
Source: RNAcentral